Molecule: ribosomal RNA, 300 nt
Filed under: uncultured bacterium
Lineage: Bacteria
Description: bacterial SSU rRNA
Rfam family: Bacterial small subunit ribosomal RNA
Source: RNAcentral
UCUUUAGGAAUCUGCCUGAAGGUAAGGGAAAAAUCUACGGGAAUUUUUCCUAUGAUUGAAUACCUUAUAUAAAAAGAGCUUAACUUAAGCUCGCCUUUAGAUGAGCUUAAAGAAGAUUAGGUUUUGCGUAAGGUAAUGGCUUACGUAGCCGACGAUCUUUAGCGGGUUUGAGAGAAUGAUCCGCCACACUGGAACUGAGACACGGUCCAGACUCUUUUUGAGGCAGCAGUGAGGAAUCUUGGACAAUGGACGAUAGUCUGAUCCAGCUAAACCACGUGGGUGAAAAGAAGGCUUUAAUUG